GUUGACUUUUCCAAUACAAGCUUCCUUCUAAGAGGCCAUGCGCCUAACUUCAACCAAAACCAAUUCAAUCACACCCGAUCAACUCCAAUACUGAUAUUGAAACAUGAAGCAAUACAAUAAGGGGGAAACGAUCAGUAACACAUAAGACGACGGGUCAGGUCGUCACACUCAAUGAGACAUAUGGUGCAGUAAGAAGCAUCAUUCUGAUGUUGUCUCCCCUUCCUAGUGUGAAUCAUGCCUACUCCCUUUUGAUUCGAGAUGAAAAACAAAGGGAGAUCCAUGUUGGAGUACAUCCUGCAGAAUUUGCUUUUAUGGCAUCAUAACAGCAGUUUCACAGUCAGAAAAAUGGAGAAGGAAAAUUCAAAGGAACUCUCAAUAUAAAGAAGUCGUUUGCAACUAUUGCAAAAAAUCAGGACAUACAAUUUAUUAGUGCUACAGAAUUGUUGGCUUUCCUCCAAAUUUUAAAUUCAUUAAGUCUAAAAAAUCUCAGGGAGUUGCUCAUACUAAUGCUGCAAUUGGAGAAGGAAGUGCAACUCAAAUAGUCCAUUGGGGAGAGGGAAAUUCAGCAGGAAAUAUAACACCAGAACAAUUUUCUCAGCUCUAUCAUUUGCUCCAACAGGUGAAAGUUGGACAACAAGGUGAGCAAAUGACUGAGUGUUGAUACACAAUUUUUUCCCAUGUAUUUAUAUACUCAAAAUACUCCCAAAAUAGCAUGUAUAUGUAUAUAUAAGCAUCCACAAAGGUCUUGGUAUUUUUCUACUUUUGAUUAGGUUUUUAAAAUCAAUUUACGGCUUAAUUUGCAAUAUAAAAUCCAAUAUUUAGUCCCAAAUCAUGUUAUUUUGACAAGUAAUCUAUUUCAUUCUCUCAUCUACGUAUAAUAUAAUUUAUAUAAUUUUUUACAGAAUUUUACAAAGCCAUUGGGUAUUUCUAAAUUAAAAUUGCAUUAUAUUGCAAUUGUAGCCCAUAUUUAAAUUUAAUAAGUAUUUGUAUUGCAAAAUUGUUCCUAAUACUUUUCAACUAAUACCUAGUUACAUUUUAUUAACUCAAUAUUUUUAUUGGAUUUUUAUAAGGUUGUUUCUAUUUUAUAAAAUUAAAUUGGGAGAAAUGACUAUUUAAAUGGUAACCUUUUAUGUUUCAAAUCUAACCCAAAUUAAACCCCCAAAUUGACCCCCCAAUUACCUGAUCCAAUAUCAAAAUUACCCGACCCAAACCCACAUAAAACUAACCUGCCCCAGUUCCCUUUAAUAGUGGCCGUUGAUCACUCAGAUCAACGGCCCACAUUUCACUUACCAAAAUUAAAUUCCAAAUAACCCCUAAACCCUAAUCAGUUUACCAAACCAGCCGCCUUUGAACCCUAAAUGCUCUCUAGCCACCUGAACCCUAAUCUUCUCCGGCUCUAUUUCACCGGCGUUCAUGGUCGUUCAAGCCCUAAGACGUCUUUAUCCGUUCACUCCUCAUCUCUCGUGGUUCCUGGGUUCGAAGAUCGGAACCCUACCUCAAAGUUGACUGGACGAGAGGUCCUCCGAUGUGAUUCCUUCAGCCGUGUCCGGCCUUUCUCCGACAAGCCUUUAGUCUCGUGGUCCUUUACCGACUCCGACGAGUCCAGUCCAGGCUUUUCUCGAUACUUCGAGUCCUUUCUCUGAAAACACUAAUUUCUUGAGGUUCUUCUCUUUGUUCACUUUUACGAUCCUCUCUGAGUCCUAGUAAUCUUCUAAAGAUUUUUAAAUAUUUCUCGCCUCUUCUUCGCCUAUUUUUGUUUUCAAACUGUUCGUCUUUUUAAACUUAGGGUUUCCAUGACUUCUCUGAUUUCUUUGAUUUCGUUGUUUUAUUUGCUACUGUGUGUUCUUCUAUAUGAUUUUUGAGCAUUUUCUACUAUGGCUCCGAGGCGUUUUGCUUCACUAAUUAUUUUCUAGGGUUUUCAGUUAAUGUGUUCUAUGCUUUCCUUUAUGCUGUUCUGAUUUUGUUCACCUUCAUCUAUGAUAUUCUUAUGCUCUAAUAUGCAUUGGAAACCGUUGCUUUAUGGGGGCUUUUCCAUUGUCUCUCUAUGAAACCCUAGCCGCCUCGAAUUGCUUUCGUGUGUGUUUUUCUACAUGUUUAUUCUACUACUUCCAGUUUAUGCAUGCUCGAAUCUAUGCAUCUUUUGUAUUACCAUUUCCCCUUUCUCUGAGCAACCCUAAAUUGGAAAAUUGAGUUUGUACAGUUGUUUGAUUCUCUAAUUGAACUUUGUUUUCUGACUAAGUUCGAAUAAGCUAGUAUCUCAAUUCCUUGAUUUUCUAGGUAAUUAGCCCGCCUUAUAUGUUUACCCGUGUGAUUUUCAAAACUUCUUACACAUAUUUGCUCUAUAUUAUGUGAUUAAUACUCGAUUUUCUUUCCAAAAUUAGGCUAAUAUUUAUUUACCUCCAGCCGUUCCUUAAUUAAAAGGAGCCUUCUCCUUAAUUGUUUAUGAUUGGUACUGAACCUGUAAACGGCUUUUAAAUGCUAAAUCUGUGGUUUCAAACGUUUUUCCUGCCUAAGUUUAAUAUUUCAAGGUCUUUAAAACUUUUCUCUCGUUCAAACGGUGUGGCUGACUUGUAAGCCUUUUCUAAACUUGUCUGUAACUUUAAAUCUCCUUUAACAGACUCUUGUCACUAACGUUUUCCUCCUGAUUUUCUAAAUCUUGUCAAUUCCUGAAACGGGCCCGGGGAGCUCGUAGUAGAUUUUCUAUCCAACUCUUAUGUAUUAAACUUAUCUGCCUGCUCUUUUAACCUCUUUUAAAGAUCAAAUCAGUAUUUUAUGUCAUGCUAAACUAGUUGCUGUUAUGUUACGGGGUUUAUUUGAGACUUUAAUUGUCCUAUUUGCAUACCACUUAUAUGCUAUGUGUUUUGACUGUCGUUCUAGUUUUUUUUCCUUUGAAACUAUUAUGUAUAUCCUAUCUCUCUCGCCCCCUUCUUAGGAUUAGAAGUCCUAAUACCCCAGGACUAACAGGGAAUACUCCAUAUAUAUAUCCUAUCUUUCUCUCCCCCUUUUGGGAUUAAAAGUCCUAAUACCCCAGGACUAACAGGUUGGGACGGGUAUUAGCAUGCAAUAAGUAAACGAUACCAACACUUUUAAAUACCUUAACGGGGUGGGAAGGGUAGAAUAUGGAGAUGAUGACCGGCAUGCUAAUACCAUAUGCGACCCCUCUUUGAGGAGUUUGUGUAGGGUUUUGUACCGAUGUGAUCCAUAUUAUAAUUAAACCUAGGACCCUUAUCUCUUUUGUUUGCUUUAUUUAAAUGUUCUCCUAUAGUCAUGCUUUUCCAAAUCAAUCCUCCCUUUUAUUUUAAACUUAUGUCCUUCCUUCUUCUUUAAAACUUUCAAGUUGUGUGAAUGCUAUAUUUGUGAACCUUAUUUGUUUAAUUGCUUCAUUUCUUUAUAAAGUCACAAUUAACACGGCUGGGAACCACACUAGUGGAUCUUGAGGGGUGCCUAACACCUUCCCCUCGAGAUAAUCUCAAGCCCUUACCCGAACUCUGGUUUACUAGUGGAUCUUGAGGGGUGCCUAACACCUUCCCAUCGAGAUAAUCUCAAGCCCAUACCCGAACUCUGGUUUUCUUUCAAAAUACUUCUCCUAUCUCUAAAAGUGUUCUAUUGCACUAUAACCAUUAGGUGGUGACUCUUCAAAUUCCAUAAAACAACUCCCAAAGGGGAAUGAGAGUUGUUUUGCCCAUAAUGUCGUAAAACCCAAUUUCUGUUUUUGAAAAAGGAGGCGUCGACAACAUGGAGACUCUGCUGGGGAAUCUAUUUAAGGCUCUUACCAUUACGUGUUUUGUGACUUUAUUACUUUCUUUAUUACCUUUACUUAUUGUUUUAAUCAUUUCUUCUCAAUUAAAAACUUGUUUCUUCAUGUCUUCUUUUUUUGCUUUGCAACUGUUUACUGCUUUACUGCCUUUAUUUUAUUUUAUUCCAUUUUAAAUACCGAGCAUCUAUUGUAAUCAUUAUAUUAUGAAUGUGAAAAUACAUGUAUUUAUUUUAUUAUUGUAAUUGCACCUUUCAACAUCAUUUUACACUCGUGCCAAACAAAUACUAUGGCAACGCUUAUAAUGAGUGGUUGCGCUCUUCCAAUAUUUAUAAACCCCUUAAAUUUUGAAAAGGCAUAUUUGCGAUAAAACCGGUCUAUGAACGGUGUAGUCGGCGGUUCUGUGCCUUUCCUUCUUGAGUUGUCCGCUCAAGGGUACCUUGUCUAGCACUUCAAAAGUAGGAACCUUACUAUGUUUAACUGUUCACGCAUCAUGGUCAAACUAGCCGAGUCAGUUAUGUUGUCCGCAUAAGGCCUCAUUAGGAUAGCCUAAGCCAAAAGUCCAUUGGGUUUCCUUGAAACCCAAACAGACAUUCUCGUUAUGCGCAUUGAUUUGGAGAACUAAAUACCUUUUUCUAAUUAUUAAUUUAAAUAGUCGCAUCUGGUGGGGUUAAGGUCCUAACCUCUAUUUUGCAGGAAAUGAGGCAUGAGGUCCCCUGAUUCGGUAUGGUAUCAAGCAUUCACCCAAAGUUACUAAGCUGGUGGGAGGAUCUGCAUGGUAGUGAUCGGGUUUUUGUCCGCAAGCACAUUGGAGAUCUCCCUUCACUCCUGGAAGUUAGGCCAGAUAAUAAGAUUGUGGAAGCUGCUACUAUGUUUUGGGAUAGUGAACGGUGUGUCUUCCGCUUUGGCGGUAUUGAAAUGACGCCGCUGUUGGAAAAAAUUAGGGGUCUAGCCGGAAUUCCUUGGGAUAGCCCGGGGCUGUUUAUGCCAGAAAACCGCAAAGGUAGAGGGAAAUGAUGGGGCUAAAGAAGAAUCCUAAUCUAACCAGUACGAAGGAUACCUACAUAUCCUUCGACUUCAUGUAUGAAAUGUUUGGACAUAGCAAAUCCUACCACACUCACAUAGACGAGUUCGCCCUCACCUCUUUGGGGCACAUACAUAGGAGAGCCUUUGUAUUCAUGUCCUGUUUCCUGGGCAUGAUAGUCUUUCCAAUGAAGAAGGCUAGAAUCCACACAAGAUUAGCCAUGGUUACCAAAGCCACAAUGGAGGGUAUCGACGGGCAGACAUUCAACAUAGCACCCAUGAUCCUUGUCGAACUAUACCGAGCCUUAGAGAAAUUUCAACAAGGGGCACCACACUUUGAAGGGUGCAAUUUGCUACUACAACUCUGGCUCAUUGAACANNNNNNNNNNNNNNNNNNNNNNNNNNNNNNNNNNNNNNNNNNNNNNNNNNNNNNNNNNNNNNCAACAUUACUAUUACAUAUGGUGCAAUUUUCUACUACAACUAUGGUUCAUUGAACAUCUUCAGAAGGGAGAUUAUAGACAAGAGAUCAUACGACGAGAUUGGGAUGACCAUAUCGCUUUCCAUCAUCCAAAGAGAAUGCACUUCAUGCCAGAUAUGUUCGCUCGUCCGGAAGAUGCCAGUAGAUGGGUAGAACUAUUUGAGAAUUUGAAAGAAGAGCAGGUACAAUGGAUUUAGGAAUGGUUUCUAACAGGUACCCUUAUGUCCAUCUCCGAGUCAUGAGGCGAAGCGGGAAGAAAGCAGAUUAUACCAAGGGUAGAAACGUUGAGUCACUACAGGGCUGACUUCUAAGAUGAUGAUAGUCCACACAGGUGUCGGGCUCAGCAUAUGUGGCAUUCCAAACUCAUUUUAGAAAGGAAUCUAUGGAACCAGACAUGUAUCAGGCAGGGCUUGCGCCGCUUUAUCCAGGAUGGCUAGAAGACGAUCAUAUUGGCUUGGGAAAAACAGGUUUCAUCCAUGGUCACAGGGUUAUUGAUGAGAACAUUGAAGCAAAGGUCAAGUAUAAUGAGCUACGCAAACGGAUGCGAGAGUGUGAAAGUGAAUAUCGGGAAAUACUAGAGGCCCAAGAGAAGAUAAUCAAUGAGUGAAAAGACAUGGAUGUCUCUGCAAACAACCGUUUAGGGUACUUGGAACAGGGUCUAGUGGAGCUGGAAGGCAAGUUUCUGAUAAGGAUCAACGACUGUUAGGAAGCUGAGGGUAACGAAGGUGGGCACUUGGCUCGGGCUUACUUGUUGCUGGGACUGCGCGAGCUGAUGAAGCUGUACGAGGGAGGCAAAGAUACCGAAUCUGGGGAAGGUCCUUCUUGACCAAGUAUUUGGGAUUUUUACUGCUUUCUUGAUGUAAUAAGGGCACUGGCCAUUAGUGACAAUUUCUCUUUAUUUUCAGUCUGUUUUGACUCGUUCUAUUUUCUAUCGAUAAAAUGAGGCACUUGGUGUUAUAAGUNNNNNNNNNNNNNNNNNNNNNNNNNNNNNNNNNNNNNNNNNNNNNNNNNNNNNNNNNNNNNNNNNNNNNNNNNNNNNNNNNNNNNNNNNNNNNNNNNNNNNNNNNNNNNNNNNNNNNNNNNNNNNNNNNNNNNNNNNNNNNNNNNNNNNNNNNNNNNNNNNNNNNNNNNNNNNNNNNNNNNNGAAUCCGCACUAACUUUUUACCUUUUUGUUUUUCUUUUAUUUUUAUUCCCCUACCCAAAGGUUAGUUCGUGCAUUCUGGCACCAUCACCAUGCUCAAUAAGAUCAAAGGUCCUCCUCCUCCUCCUCCGAGUCCCCCCAGAAACAGGAACAAAGGAAAGAUGGGAGAUAAUUAAGCAAGAAAUGAAAUUUAAGGAACUUCCCAAGGUACCCCGAUCACCAAAGAGACUGCUAUUCAUUUGGAGCAAACUUUGCUAAGGUUCCAAGAGGAACUAGACCCGGUCAAGAGUUUGGCAAGUUUGUCCAUCUCCCUUGCUGUUGCAGAUGUCAACAAUCAGGUCCCUGCACCUCCGCAGAAGACCCUAACCCAAGCUCGCAACAAUGCUCCACCACUCAUCCCUGAGCCUCAAAAUGCUCCAAACCAAAAGUCCUAGUGCUGUUGCAGAUGUCAACAAUCAGGUCCCUGCACCUCCGCAGAAGACCCCAAUCCAAGCUCGAAACAAUGCUCCACCGCUCAUCCCUGAGCCCCAAAAUGAUCCAAACCUUCGUGGAUACUGUGCCGUAAUAUGCAUGGUCUAUAUCAGAUGUAUCAGAAUUAGACUAACUCAUUCAGAACUUGGCUGCUGAACUCAAGAAACUCACUUGCAGGGUUCAAGGCGUGGAAGGUGAUAAGGGUGUGGAGAAUUUGAAUAUGAAGACCUUUGUGUUCAACCUGAUGUUGAAAUCCCAGAGGGGUACAAACCUCCUAAGUUCGAAAUGUUCGAUGGUACUGGUGAUCCCAGGGUUCACCUCAGGAUGUAUUGUGACAAGUUGGUGGGAGUUGGUAGAGAUGAAAAGAUCCACAUGAACCUAUUUAUGAGGAGCCUGAAAGGUGAUGCUUUAUCCUGGUAUAUCAGCCAUGAUGCAAAGAAGUGGACAAGCUGGGUGAACAUGGCAUCCGAUUUUAUGGAUCGUUUUAGAUUCAACACUCAGAAUACGCCAGAUGUAUUCUAUAUAAAAAAUUAUAAGAAAAAGCCUAAUGAAACCUUUCACGAGUAUACUACUCAUUGGAGGUCGGAAGCUGCCAAGGUCAGACCGACUUUAGAAUAAGAACAAAUGAAUAGGUUUUUGGUCCGUGCUCAGGAUCCACAGUACUACGAGAGAUUGAUGCUGAUAGAGAGGCAAAAGUUCUUUGAUAUCAUCAAACUGGGAGAAAGAAUUAAUGAGGGCAUUAAAAAUGGUAUGGUUACUAACCUUGAGGCACUGCAGCUACCAAAAAAGCCUUACAAUCUAGUGGUACGUUGAAGAAAAAAGACAUAAAAUCCGUAAUGGCUGCAAAGAGAAACCACUCUCCCAUGAAAUACCAACCAUACUCUCCAAAUCCACUCACAUACCAACCCUCUCUAAACUACUAGGUACCUUCACCUACCUAUCAAAAUCCACAUCACGUCUACCAAACAUCUCCAUCACCGACAUAUCAGCCCACCUCGCCAGGAUAUUCACGACCGCACCCGUAUACCAAGCUUACAACUCCCAACCUCCUCACUAUCCAUCACCACCUACCUGCCAAAACUUCCCACAACAGAGACCAAACUUUGACCACAAACCGCCCAGACAAUAUACCGCUAUUGCCUAACACAUUGACCAACUGCUUGAGAAUAUCAAAGUCGCUGGAUAUGUUACACCCAUUCCAGCCAUAACCCCAGAAAACCCUUCCCAAUGGAUCAACAUUAAUCCCAAUCUCCUCACUAUCCAUCACCACCUACCCGCCAAAACUUCCCACGACCAAGACCAAACUUUGACCGAAAAUAGCCCAGACAAUACACUGCUAUUGCCGAACCCAUUGACCAACUGUCUGAGAAACUCAAAGUCGCUGGAUAUGUUACACCCAUCCCAGUCAUAACCCUAGAAAACCCUUCCCAAUAGAUCAACCCAAAUAAAACAUGCGCAUACCAUUCGGGGAUGAAGGGCCACACCAUCGAUGAGUGCCGUUCGUUGAAGGACAAAACUUAGACCUUAAUUGACAACAAGGUCACUGUAGCUAAAGAGCCUACUCGCAAUGUUCGUAACAACCCUUUACCAGACCAUAAAGGUGGAGGCAUCCACAUGAUUGAGGUUGAAGACGACUGGGACCCCGACAGGUCAAUCGGUUUGAUAUCUGAAGGAGAUGAGCCCAAAAAGCUAGCGGUCACUCUUAAUCCUAUUGUUGUACAGAUCCAUCCAUCUAAGGGCAAUAUGGUGAAUAUAUCUGUACCAUUUGAGUUCGAGGCACCUCCUGCAAAAGUUCCAAAACCAAUUGAGGUGGAGUUCGGGACUCUAAAGGCGCCCGCACCGAUUGAAGUUGCUAUGUUGCCUCCAAGGGUGCCCAUUCUGGUCACCAUGUCAGACAUAACCUCAUUUCAAUCAAAUGCCAUACCUUGGACUAAAAAAUCGAGGCAAGAAGGAAGGGAAAAGCACGCACGGGUAAAGCAAUCGCCGCGCAAGGUGUGACUAGAACAUGCAGGGUGUACAUACCAGAGCACCUAGCUGAGUCCAACAAGCAGGCCUCUGGAUGUCCCACUGAAAUUGGACCUGAUGAUCUCUAGGGAAUAUACAGGCUAAAGAAUAUUCAGCUGUUGAACAGCUAAACAAAACUCUGGCACAUAUUUCCAUCUUGGCAUUGCUGCAGAGUUCCCAGGCGCAUAAGAACACCUUGAUGAAUAUAUUGAGCGAGGCUUCUGUCCCGAGCAACAGAACAUGAGGAGAGAUUGCAAACAUGAUAGGGCAUGUAUUGGAAAGUCACAAAAUCACUUUCCACAAGGAUGAAUUGCCACCUGAAGGGACCGGCCAUAACAAAGCACUAAUCAUUACUGUGCAAGGAGAAAGAGAUAAAGAAGAAAAUUCUCAAAUUCCCACAAAUGGUUUGAAUAAGCAUUCCUUAGAGAGGGAAUGUCGGAUGAGACACUAUUUGGCCUUCUUUCAGGAGUUGUAGAUAGUAUCACCUUUAGCUGGUAGCUAGCAAAGAAGUUAUCCCCUAUCAACGUAUAUAGUUGAGGAAUGAGUGCAACAUGAAGAUCAUUUCAUCACCAGGAUUUUAGUCAACAGAGGUUCUAGCCUCAACAUUUGUCCAUUGAUCACCCUCAAGAAGUUCAAAGGAUUUCAUGAGAUAAAAGAUGGGGCUAUUAACGUUAAGGCUUUUGACGGAUCUCAGAGGUCCACCCUCGGGGAGAUUAGCCUAUAUUUGCAAAUGGGCCCCACUUUGUUUGAUGUUGAUUUCCAAGUCAUCGACGUACCAGCAUCUUACAACUUAUUGCCAGGACGACCCUGGAUCCAUGCCGCUGGGGCUGUGGCAUCAACCUUUUAUCAGGCCGUGAAGUUCGAGUGGAACCAUCAGGAAGUGAUCAUCCAUGGCAACGGUAGCAACCCCAUAUACAGUCUCCAGACCAUUCCGAUGAUCGAAGGCAGAAGAAGAAUAGGCGCAGAAACAUAUCACCAUAUUGAGCGAGUCAACGCAGUGGACAAGAACAAAUGAUGGAGUAACAAGGUCGAGAGCAUUAGUAAUUGGAGCGGGUAUGAACCAAGGAAAGGACUUGGUAAGAAUCUUCAGGGCAUCACGAAACCUAUCCAGUUGAAGAAGCAUGGUACUACAUUCGGACUAGGGUACGAGUACACUUGGAAGGAAUUCAAAAAUUGGUCACCACCACGGCGCAGUCCAUAUUACCCAUUGGAAUACCCCAUACCUCAGUUGGAGUAGAAAUUUCAGCCAGCCUACACUCUUUACGGGCCAGAAGAAGACGAGGCUCUUACGACAAUGAAGAACUUGUUUUUGGAGGAGGACAUGGACUGUUGUGUGACUUUUGAAUAGGAAAGGGAGGAAGGCCCUUCCUUUCAGGCUAUAAACCUUGGGGAUCACCUUGCCAAUUGGUCAAUCAGGACCACCAUCGCCCGGAAAUCUUCAGGGUAUCAAGGCUGAACAAGCAUCAUGCAUCUUUGUUUUAGUUGUUCCUUUACUUCCCGCAAUUUCUUUACUUUUCAAAAAAGCUCCGAUAAUUUGAAUAUUUAUGAAUUCAAUCAAAAGAAUUUUUCAGUUUAUCAAAUAUCUCGCUAUUCAUUACUUUUCUCUGCUAUUUACUUUAUUUUCCACACAACAUUACUAUUACGUAUCUUGAUGAUGAACUAACAACUGUAACUUGCAACGAGCUAUGCAACAAACAGACAUAGACUUAGAGGAAGAUGAUAUACCAGAAGAGGUUGUCACAGAGGUCGAGAAUUUUGAGAAUAGACCUAAGUCCAUCUUGGAUGAAAUCGAGGUCGUCAAUUUGAGAGAUAUAGAGAAUGUCAAAGAGACGCGCAUCAGUGUGCACUUAUCUCGGACAGAAAAAGAGGAAUAUACAGAGUUCUUAAAGGAAUAUGAGGAUAUCUUUGCAUGGUAUUAUGACAAUAUGACUCGUCUCAGUACAUCCAUCGUUGCUCACAAGUUAUCGAUAGAUCCGGCAUGUCCACCGGUAAAACAGAAGCUCAGAAAAUUCAAGCCAGAUAUGAGUUUAAAAAUAAAAAAGGAGGUCACUAAGCAGUUCAAAGCCAGAGUUCUUCAAGUGGUAGAGUACCCGACCUGGUUAGCUAACAUCGUGCCAGUAACGAAGAAGGAUGGGAAAGUUAGAGUCUGUGUCGUCUACCGGGAUAUCAAUCGGGCCAGUCCCAAAGAUGAUUUCCCCUUGCCAAACAUACACAGUUGCAGUCAUUCGUCAAUUGGGCAGGGUACCAUAAAAAAUAUGGAUGGAUAAAGAAGAUGCAGAGAAAACGGUGUUUAUCUCGCCUUGGGGAAUGUAUUGCUACAAAAUGAUGCCGUUUGGAUUGAAGAAUGCGGGAUCUACUUAUAUGUGGGUCAUGACUACCCUCUUUCAUGACAUGAUACAUAAGGAGAUUGAGGUAUAUGUGGACAAUGUCAUCAUCAAGUCCAGGAAGGCAACAGAUCACAUGGAGGACCUCCGAAAAUUUUUCAACAGACUAAGGAGUAUAACUUAAAAUUGAAUCUCGCCAAGUGUGCAUUUGGGUUCCUUGUGGGGAAGUUAUUGGGUUUCAUCGUGAGCCGUCAAGGAAUAGAGCUGGAUCCAUCAAAAGUCAAAUAUAUUCAAGAGUUUCCACCGCCAAAGAGCAAGAAAGAGGUAAUGAGUUUCCUGGGGAGACUCAACUAUAUCAGCCGAUUCAUAGCUCAGUCUACAUCAUCUGCGAACCUAACCUAUCUUGAAGAUGCUGAAGAAGGAUGCCGCCACCAAAUGGACCGAUGAAUGCAAAGGCUUUUGACAGGAUCAAGGAAUACUUGUCUACACCUCUAGUCCUGGUUCCGUCUGAACCUGGUACCUUUAUUGCUCUAUCUCACAAUUUUGGAGGGAGCAUCCUGUUGAGUCUUGGGACAACAUGAUGAGACAAGGAGAAAGGAUCAAGAUAUUUACCACCUCAGCAAGAAAUUUACCCCGUACGAGGCUCGGUAUUCCUUACUAGAAUGCACCUGUUGUGCUUUGACCUGGGUAACUCAGAAAUUGAGGCAUUAUUUCUGUGCUUACACUACCUACCUUAUAUCAAGAAUGGAUUCGCUCUGUUGUGCUUUGACCUGGGUAACUCAGAAAUUGAGGCAUUGUUUCAAUGCUUACACUACCUACCUAAUACCAAGGAUGGAUCUACUAAAAUAUAUUUUUCAGAAGCCCAUGCUCACUGGCGAGCUCGCCAAGUGGCAAAUUUUGUUGAGUGAAUUCGACAUUGUCUAUGUCACUUAAAAGGCAGUCAAACGACAGGCUUUGGAAGAUCAUCUUGCAGAAAAUCCUGUAGGAGGGGAGUAUGAACCAUUGAAGACGUAUUUUCCCGAUGAGGAAGUAGAUUUCAUAGGGAAGACAUUGCAGAAUCCUAUGACGGUUGGAGGAUGUUUUUCAACGGAGCCGCAAAUUUCAAAGCGGUGGGUAUCGAAGCAAUCCUGGUAUCAGAAACCGGUUCUUAGGAGAGGAUAUUGCAGAAUUCUAUGAUGGUUGGAGAAUGUUUUUCGACGAAGCCGCAAAUUUCGAAGGAGUUGGUGUCGGAGCGGUCUUGGUAUCAGAAACCGGUCAAAAUUACCCGGUAUCAGCCAAGAUCAGGUUCCCGUGCACCAAUAAUAUGGCCGAGUAUGAAGAUUGCAUCUUGGGGCUUAAAAUGGCCAUUGACAUGAACAUUCAGGAGCUGCUAGUGGUCGGAGAUUCAUACCUACUCAUACACUAGGUUCGAGAAGAAUGGGCAACCAAGAAUUCCAAGAUACUCUGUUAUCUGCACCAUAUACAGGAGUUGAGAAAGUGGUUCAGAAAAAUGGAAUUCCAGCAUGUUCCAAGAAUACAGACUGAGUUCGCAGAUGCGCUUGCCACUUUAUCAUCUAUGAUUCAGCAUCCAGAUACAAACUUCAUCAACCCUAUCUAUGUCAAAAUUCAUGAUCAACCGACAUAUUGUGCACAUGUUGAGGAAGAAGCCGACGGAAAACCCUGAUUCCACAACAUCAAAGAAUACCUGACAACAUGAGAAUAUCCAGAGCUUGCUAAUGUUACCAGAAGCGCACGCUUCAGAGAUUAUCCAACAAUUUCUUUCGUAGUAGAGCAAUCCUGUAUAGGAGGACCCCCGAUUUGGGACUAUUGAGGUGUGUCGAUGCGACAGAAGGAAAAAAGUUAUUGGAGGAAGUACACUCAGGGACUUGUGGGCCGCACAUGAAUGGUUUUGUUCUAGCAAAGAAGAUACUCCAAGCAGGAUAUUUUGUGAUGAUUAUGGAGACAUACUGAAUUCAGUAUGUCCGAAAGUGUCAGCGGUAUCAGAUACAUGCAGAUAUGAUGAAGGUACCUCCGAAAGAGCUCAAUGCAACAAGCUCAUCGUGUUCAUUCGCUGCUUGGGUAAUGGAUGUUAUUGGACCAAUAGAGCCUGCCGUAUCAAACGAACACAUGUUCAUCUUAGUGGAAAUGGAUUACUUUACUAAAUGGGUUUAAGCAUCAUCAUAAAAAACAAUAACCAAGAAAGUCGUGGCAGACUUUGUUCGAGAUCGUAUUGUCUGUCGAUUCGGGAUUCUAGAGUCGAUCAUCACUGUUAAUGGUUCCAACCUCAAUAGCGACUUGAUGAAAGCAAAGUGUGAAACUUUCAAGAUCAGGCACAGAAAUUCUACAGCUUAUAGACCUCAGAUGAAUGGAGCUGUGGAAAUAGCCAAUAAGAACAUCAAGAAAAUACUAAGGAAAGUGAUCGAAAGGCAUAAGAUGUGGCAUGAGACGUUGUCAUUCGCUUUAUUGGGUUAUCGUCCUAAAACUCGCAUAUCAACCGUUACAACUCCUAUAUGCUGGUUUACGCUACAGAGGCGGUAAUUCCCGCCGAGGUAGAAAUUCCGUCCUUGAGAAUCAUACAAGCUGAGCUAGAUGACAUAGAAUGGGUCAAGGGUCGCUACGAGCAGUUACCCUUUAUAGACAGAAAGAGAAUGCAUACUGUCUGUCACGGUCAAUUAUAUCAGAACAAAAUUUCCAGAGCCUUCAACAAGAGAGUUAGACCAAGGAAGUUUACACCAGGGCAGCUGGUGUUGAAAAAAAUAUUUUCACAUCAAGAUGAAGCCAAAAGGAAGUUCUCUCCCAACUGGCAGGGUCCGUACAUGGUUCACCGGGUUCUAACUGGAGGAGCCCNNNNNNNNNNNNNNNNNNNNNNNNNNNNNNNNNNNNNNNNNNNNNNNNNNNNNNNNNNNNNNNNNNNNNNNNNNNNNNNNNNNNNNNNNNNNNNNNNNNNNNNNNNNNNNNNNNNNNNNNNNNNNNNNNNNNNNNNNNNNNNNNNNNNNNNNNNNNNNNNNNNAUUGGCCAAAACCGAUCAACUCAGAUGCAGUGAAGAGAUACUACAUUUAAUCAGUAUGCUUUCCCCUUACAAUGUAAUUUGAACUAUGCCUGACCUGAUUUUCGUUUAAGAGGGGAUACGUAGGCAGCCCUAUGGGUUCGGUCACAUAUUUAAUAAAAGUCCAUCCCCCCACCCCACAUAUGGAACUGGGGCAGAAUUUUGAGGAGGACCCCUAAAAUUCCGAAGUCAGUUUGUGAGUUUCUUCAUCAGCAUCAACCCAGUAAAAUGGGGUAGAAUUUUGAGUCUCAAAAUUUCCAGGUCGAUCCAUUUUCAAGUCAUUCAGCACCACCGUCAGCAGCGCCAGCCUAGAGAACUGGGGCAUAAUUUUGGGGCGGACCCUCAAAAUUCUAGAGCCAACAAGGUUGCGGUGUCUUGAACCACGUUGUAGUUGUCGGUUCAUCAUAAAACAAAAUUAUUGUUUUCUUUACUUAUAUAUACAUUUUCAUCGUGUUUGCCAAAUUUUUGCAUGAAAUCAUUCAGAUCGAUAUCGUUCAGCAACGCUACCCCAAAUGGCACAGGACACCACGAGUUGAGGGAUGCGAACUAACCAUUCCCCUUUGCAGAGCUUAGGAUCUUUCUUUGGAUGCAGGAAUCCAGAAUACAAAUAGGCGGCGCAUGUGUUUUACAAAUCUGAAGUUCCCGAAACCACUACUUACCUUGCAAAGGUUUACUAUCAACAUUCAACACUUCCCCGGCAGUCAUGAUAUCGCAAUCAUCUACCCGCUAAGAAAAUCACCAUCAUCCUCUCCUUUAUAUUACUGCAUUUUGCAUAAGGCUAUUCUCUGCAUUUAGAGGUUAAGUGUUACCUCCAUCCUGCAUAAGGCUAUUCUCUGCCUUCCGAGGUUAAGCUCUACAUCCAUCCUGCAUAGGGCUAUCUUCUGCCUUUCGAGAAUAAGCUCUGUCUCCAUCUUGCAUUUUGCAUAAGGCUAUUCUCUGCCUUCCUAGGCUAAGCUAUACCUCCAUCUUGCAUAAGGCUAUCUUCUGCCUUUAGAUACUAAGCUCUGUCUCCAUCUUGCAUUUUGCAUAAGGCUAUUCUCUGCCUUCCGAGGUUAUGCUCUUCCUCCAUCCUGCAUAGGGAUAUUCUUUGCCUUCCGAGGUUAAGCUCUACCUCCAUCCUGCAUAAGGCUAUCUUCUGCCUUUUGAGACUANNNNNNNNNNNNNNNNNNNNNNNNNNNNNNNNNNNNNNNNNNNNNNNNNNNNNNNNNNNNNNNNNNNNNNNNNNNNNNNNNGCAUAAGGCUAUCUUCUGCCUUUUGAGACUAAGCUCUGUCUCCAUCUUGCAUUUUGCAUAAGGCUAUUCUCUACCUUCCAAGGUUAAGCUCUACCUCCGUCCUGCAUAGGUCUAUUCUCUGCCUUUCGAGACUAAACUCUGUCUCCAUCCUGCAUUGCAUAAGGCUAUUCUCUGCCUUUCGAGGUUAAGCUCUACCUUCUUUAUUUUGAAUUUGGCUGAAAAAUCAUCACCCACUUUCAUUUGGCUGAAAUAUCGCCGCCUUGCAUUUUAAAUUCUCGCUUUGGUUGAAAUAUCGCCACCCUUACAUUCAUUCGGUUGAAAUAUUUCCACCUUCUCAUGGGCUAAAAUAUCGCCAACUUAUUCAAAGGCAUCAUAGUUCGAAGGCACCAUCCGCAUAUCCCGAGAACACCAUUUCAUGGCCUGCAAAUCUUUACUUUAUGCUCUUCAUAGCCGAGGACGUCAUAGUCUGAGGACACCAUCCUAAUCGUCCGAAGACACCAUUCAUGGUCCAAUGGGAACUUGCAUCACGUUUAAAUUAUGCAAAAUAUAUGCACAUCGUUCAUUUGCAGGUACAUAACCAGUAAUCGUCCGAAGACACCAUUCAUGGUCCAAUGGGAACUUGCAUCACGUUUAAAUUAUGCAAAAUAUACGCACAUCGUUCAUUUUCAGGUACACCGGCUGGCACACUCACCUCAGCAGGAGCAGUCCCGCUCCAGUUUUCCGCAGCCCAUCCGAUCUCCGAACCCUUGACAAGUCUCAAACCCCGUUGCGUUCGCCUUUUCCAAAUUUUCAUUGGCAUAUCCCGCCAAUGGUCCCUGAACUACAUACGGCCCAAUUCCUGUAAAACCAAGGAUAUGUAGGCAGCUCAGAAGCCAGAGCACGGUCGAACUUCUCUUAUAGUCGUCAUUUCCGGUCAAAAUUGGCCAUCUAUUCUUUACCCGACAACUCUUUCAUCCUCCUCGGGUAAAGAGGGGCAGUUGUUGAUACCCAAUUUUCUUUACCCGACAACUCUUUCAUCCUCUUCGGGUAAAGAGGGGCAGCUGUUGAUACCCAAUUUUUCCCCAUGUAUUUAUAUACUCAAAAUACUCCCAAAAUAGCAUGUAGAUGCAUAUAUAAGCAUCCACAAAGGUCUUGGUAUUUUUCUACUUUUUUAGGUUUUUAAAAUCAAUUUACGAUUUUUUUGGCAAUAUAAAAUCCAAUAUUUAGUCCCAAAUCGUGUUAUUUUGAAAGUAAUCUAUUUUAUUCUCUCAUAUACAUAUAAAUAUAAUUUAUAUAAUUUUUUAUAAAGCCAUUAGGUAUUUCUAAAUUAAAAUUAUAUUUUAUUGCAAUUUUAGCCCAUUUGUCGAUUUAAUAAGUAUUUUUAUUGCAAAAUCAUUCCUAAUAUUUUUUAACUAAUACGUAGAUAUAUUUUAUUAACUCAUAUUUUUAUUGGAUUUUUAUAAGGUUUUUUUUGUAUUUUUAUGAAAUUUAAAUGGGAGAAAUGGUUAUUUAAAUGGUAGCCCUUUUUGUUUCAAUUCUAACCCAAAUUAACCCCCCAAAUUGACCCCCCAAUUACCUGACCCAAUCUCAAAAUUACUCGACCCAAACACACAUAAAACUAACCCGCCCCAGUUCCCUUUAAUCCUGGUCGUUGAUCACUCAGAUCAACGUCCCACAUUUUACUUAACAAAAUUAAAUCCCAAAUAACCCCUAAACCCUAAUCAGUUUAUCAAACCAGCCGCCUUUGAACCCUAAAUGCUCUCUAGCCCCUCCCGAACCCUAAUCGUCUCUAACUCUAUUUCACCGGCGUUCAUCGCCGUUCAAGCCCUAAGACGUCUUUAUCCAUUCACUCCUCAUCUCUCCUGGUUCCUGGGUUCGAAGAUCAGAACCCUACUUCGAAGUUGACUGGACCAGAGGUCCUCCGAUGUGAUUCCUACAGCCAUGUCCGGCCUUUCUACGGCAAGCCUUACGGCCCUGGGUCCUUUUCCGACUCCAACGAGUCCAUUCCAGGCUUUUCUCGAUACUUCGAGACCUUUCUCUGAAAACCCUAAUUUCUCGAGGUUCUUCUCUUUGUUCACUUUUACGAUCCUCUCUGAGUCCUAGGUAUCUUCUAAAGAUUUUAAAGUAUUUCUCGCCUCUUCUUCGCCUAUUUUUGUUUUCAAAUUGUUCGUCUUUUUAAACUUAGGAUUUUCCAUGACUUCUCUGAUUUCUUUGAUUUCGUUAUUUUAUUUGCUACUGUGUGUUCUUCUCUAUGAUUUUUGAGAAUUUUCUACUAUGGCUCUGAGGCGUUUUGCUUCACUGAUUAUUUUCUAAGGUUUUAAGUUAAUGUGUUAUAUGCUUUACUUUAUGCUGUUCUGAUUUUGUUCACCUACAUCUAUGAUAUUCCUUAUGCUCUAAUAUGCAUUGGAAACCCUAGCUUUAAGGGGGAUUUUCCAUUGUCUCUCUGUGAAUCCCUAGCCGCCUCAAAUUGCUUUCGUGUGUGUUUUGCUACAUGUUUAUUCUACUACCUCCAGUUUAUGCAUGCUCGAAUAGCUACCUCAAAUUGGUUUCGUGAGUGUUUUGCUAUAUGUUUAUUCUACUACCUCCAGUUUAUGCAUGCUCGAAUCUAUGCAUCUUUUAUAUUACAAUUUCCCUUUAUCUGAGCAAUCCUAAAUUGGAAAUUGAUUUUGUACAGUUGUUUGAUUCUCUAAUUGAAGUCUGUUUUCUGACUAAGUUCGAAUAAGCUAGUAUCUCGAUUCCUUGAUUUUCUGGGUAAUUAGUCUGCUUUAUAUGUUUACCCGUGUGACUUUCAAAACUUCUUACACGUAUUUUCUCAAUAUUCUGUGAUUAGUACAUGAUUUUCUAGGUAAUUAGACCGCCUUAUAUGUUUACCCGUGUGAUUUUCAAAACUUCUUGCACAUUUUCUCUAUAUUCUGUGAUUAGUACUCGAUUUUAUUUCCAAAAUUAGGCUAAAGUUUAUUUACCUCCAGCCGGUUCCUUAAUUAAAGGGAGCCUUCUCCUUAAUUGUUUAUGAUUGUUACUGUUGAAUAUUUUCUUGCCUUAAGUGUUGCACCUCUUUCAAACUAUAAAAGCCUUCACCUUUUCUCACUUAACAGACACGGAUAUACGACUACUCUCUAAAUCUCUCACAGAAAACUCUCUUCUCUUUUAUAUUCUUCUUUGUUACUUGCUUGAUACACGACUACUCUCUAAAUCUCUCACUGAAAACUCCCUUCUCUUCUAUAUUCUUCUCUAUUACUUGCUCUCUUUUCUACGAAUUAGCCGGCUGAAAGCCAAGGUUAACUAUAAGGAUUUAUACUUGCUUUAUUAUUCAAGUUGUAUCUGGUAGGCUCCUAAUUUUACAUCAUCAACCUCCAACUAGUUGUUUACUUAACCAUGUUCCCUGUCUGUUUGUGCUUUCAGUUUAAGUUCAGCAUGUUUAACCCCGUUCCCUUCCCCUAGUCUAUUUGUAUAUUUCAAUUUAAGCUUUAGCAUGUUUAAUCCCCUUCCCGUUUCCCUUGUCUGUUAUGUUUAAGUUCAACAGGUUUAAUCCCCUUCCCCCAUUUCCCUUGUCUGUUUGUGUAUUUCAGUUGCUGCAUGUUUAAUUCUCCCUUUUCCCUUGUCUGUUUAUAUUUCCGUUUUUCAGCAUGCUCAGCCCCUUCUCUUGUCUGUUUAUUGUUCAUUAUUGUGGUUUAAGUUCUUAUACAGCCCUUUCCCCUGAAUCCUUUUAAUUUAGUCUUGUUCUCUCAAGUAUACUUAUGUGAUUCCCCUUUUCCUGAUCCCUGUUUGAAUAUGAGUGUGUUCUAGAUUAGGAUAGCAUCCCAUUGCCACUCCUAGUUUAGAACUAAGGUUGUUAACAGCCUAUACUCAAAGUAAUCCCAUUCCCUACCCCCAUAUUAUGUGUUUGAGCCUUGACAAAGGCCUUUUGGUGUCCUAAUCACCAUACAUACCCUAGUCUGACUUGUUUACAAGUCUUCUCUUGCUUGUUAACCUUUGUAAGUGGUUAGGGGUGUGCUAGCCUCACUCCAUAGGCUAGGUAUGACCACCUCCUACAUUGGUCUUCCUCUAAUUCCUCACUUUUACACUUAUUUUUAGUUCUUUAAGUUCUACCCUCCUCAGGUAAGCCAUGCUUAUGGAUCUUGGAGUCUCCUCUGAACUUGUAUGCCUUAGGGCUGCACUUAUUCUUAGUUCUUUAAGUUCUACCACCCUCUGGUAAGACAUGCUUAGGGACCUCGGAGUCUCCUCUAAACUUGAAUGCCUUAGGGCUGGUAAUUCCACACUUGCACUAUUCUAAUUGAUUAGAGUGUAGGAAUUGCCUGGUUUUCUUUGAAAGCCUUUGGAACUUUGAUACACUCUAAAGAGAAAGCCUCGGACUUGGGAGCCCGAAUUUGGUAAAAGGCAUAUGUUGGACAUUAAUGUUGCUUUGACACUCCUCGUGCCUGUUCUAGUUAUUGAUAUAUUCAACUUUUUUAUUCCUUUAAUGUUUUUUCUGUUCAGUUUUGUAAUAAUUUGUAAUAAAGGAACUCGGGAAUAAAGUAAAAGGGAUAUGGGGAGGGUUUGCAUUUUUGCAUCAAUUAGAUACCAUAUAUAUAAGGGUUUACUUUCUUGCAUCUCAUAUAGAUACCAUGUCUAUAGGCUUUUAUUAUUGCACAAUCUCAUGUAGAUAUCAUUAUGUAAGGCUUUUCGUUACUGCAUCAAUUUCAUAAUAGAAAUCAUGUCUAUAGGUUUGCAUUGUUCUAGCCUCAUAUAGAAACCAUGCUUAUAGGUUUGCAUUCUCAUAACCUCACCUAGAAAAUAUGCCUAUAGGAACUAUAUAAACGCUAGGCACAACAGUAGGUCGUCCAAAUUUGUAAAAAAAUAGUAACAAAAAGGAUCAGUGUACAUGUUAUAAAGGUCCAGCUCACCCAGUGCUUAAGAACGUUUCAAUCCAACUUGUCUUGAAUCUGAUUACUUUCAAAUUGGGCCCAUGUCUGCCCCUUUCAUAAUACUCUGAACCUGUAAACGUCUUUUAAAUGCUGAAUCUGUGGUUUCAAAUGUUUUGCCUUCCUAAGUUUAAUGUUUCAAGGUCAUUAAAACUUUUCUCUGGUUCAAACAGUGCGAUUGACUUGUAAGCCUUUUCUAAACUUGUCUGCAACUUUAAAUCUCUUUUAACAGACUCUUGUCUGAAACUAACGUUUUCCUCCUGGUUUUCUAAAUCCUGUCAAUUCCUAAUAAUGGGCCCGGAGGGCGCAAAGCAAAUUUUAAAUCGAACUUUCAUGGGUUAAACUAAUCCGUUUGCUCUUCUGACCUCUUUUAAAGACCAAAUCAGUAUUUGAAGUCAUGCUAAACUAGUUGUUGUUAUGUUACGGGGUUUAUUUGCGCCUUUAAUUGUCCUAUUUGCAUACCACUUACAUGCUACGUGUUUUGAAUGUCGUUCUAGUAUUUUUACAUUUGAAACUCCAUGUAUAUCAUAUCUCUCUCGCCCCUUUCUUAGGAUUAAUCUAGUAUUUUUUCCUUUGAAACUCCACAUAUAUCCUAUCUCUCUCGCCCCUUCUUAGAAUUAGAAGUACUAAUACCCCAGGACAAACAGGUUGGGAUGGGUAUUAGCAUGCAAUAAGUAAACGAUACCAACGCGUUUAAAUACCUUAACGGGGUGGGAAGGGUAGAAUAUGGAGAAGAUGACCGGAACGCUAAUACCAUAUGCGACCCCUCUUUGAGGAGUGUGUGCGGAGUAUUGUGCCAAUGUUAUCCAUAUUAUAGUUAAACCUAGGCCCUUCUCUCUUUUGUUUGCUUUAUUUAAAUGUUCUCCUAUAGUAAUGCUUUUCCAAAUCAAUCCUCCAUUUUAUUUUAAACUUAUGCCCUUCCUUAUUCUUUAAAGCUUCCAAGUUGUGUGAAUGCUAUAUAUGUGAACCUUAUUUGUUUAAUUGCUUCAUCUCUUUAUAAAGUCACAAUUAACAUGGUAGGGAAACGCACUAGUGGAUCUUGAGGGGUGCCCAACACCUUCCACUCGAGAUAAUCUCAAGCCCUUACCCGAACUCUGGUUUUCUUUCAAAAUACUCCUCCCAUCUCUAAAAGUGUCCUAAUGCACUAUAAUCAUUAGGUGACGACUCUUCAAAUUCCAUAACCCAACUCCCAAACGAGAAUUAGAGUUAUUUUGCCCUUAAUGUCGUAAAACCCAAUUUCGCUUUCUGAAAAAGGGGCGUCAACACUGAGGCUAUUGCUUCUGCUAAUUGUGCAGGUAUAUUACCGCCCUCUUCAAACCCUUCACUUUAUGCACUCUCUUAUUUUUCUUUCAUUCAUCCAAAGAGCUGGAUCAUUGAUUCAGGUGCUUCUGAACAUAUGACAUCUAAUUUCUCAGCUCUAAUCAAUGUUGCUACCCUACCUUUUCCCUUGUAUGUUAAACUACCAAAUUCUCAUAAAGUAAAGGUUAGUCAAAUGAAGUGUACACAUUCUACCAGAUUUAACUAUUAAAAUUGUUCUUUAUGUGCCUGAUUUCAAUUUCAAUCUAAUCUCUAUUCAUAAACUCACAAAACACCUAAAUUGUCUCCUGUUAUUCACUUCUUUUGGUGCUAUUUUGCAGGCCCCUCAAUGAUGAGGCCAGUGGUAAUUGGUGAAAUUCUUGAAGGUCUUUAUCUACUCAAUCCAAAGUCUGUCUCUACUUGUUUCAAGAUUAAUUACCGGCAUGUUUAUCCUUCUGUGUCAGCUUGUAAUAGUUAUAAUUAAAAGAAUGUUUCAGUUUCAUGUUCAGUUCAAUUACCUAGCAAUGUAAGCUUAUGGCACAAACGUUUGAGGAAUAUGCCACUUUCUAGUAUGCAAUAUUUAUCUAAAUUUUAGUCUCAUUCCUUAUCGAAAUUUUAUCUACCAUGUGAUGUGUGUUCUAAAGCAAGGCAGACCAAAUUGCCAUUUCAUUCUAGUACUAUUUCCACUACUUCUAUUUUUGAUCUUUUCACAUUGAUACACGGGGACCUUAUAAGGUUCCUACUCAUGAUGGUUACAAAUAUUCUCUUACCAUAGUUGAUGAUUUUAUUAGAGGGACCUGGACUUACCUACUUAAAAUAAAAAGUAAUGCCUUUACAGUUUUGAAAUCUUUUCUUUCCAAGAUUGAGAGACAAUUCAACAGAAAAGUAAAAAUUGUGAGAUCAGACAAUGCCAUGGAGUUAAGUAGCAGUAACUCUACAUCAGAAUAUUUUUCUUCCAAAGGGAUUUUACAUCAAACCAUUUGCAUUGCCACACCCCAACAAAAUGGUGUUGUAAAGCGCAAAUACAAACACUUAUUGGAAACAAGUAGAGCUUUAAUUUUUCAGUCACAUGUUCCAGUAACCUAUUGGGGUUAGUGUUUGCUCACUGCCACUUUUCUUAUUAAUAGAUUUCCAUCCAAAAUUUUGAAUUCUAAAUCUCCUUAUGAACUUCUUUUAGGAAAGAAACCUUCUUUAGAAUUUUUAAGAUCUUUUGGUUUCCUUUGUUAUGCUUCUACUUUGUCUUCACACAGAUCCAAAUUUGAUCCAAGAGCUGUAAAGUGCAUUUUUAUGGGAUACCUCUUUGGAAAGAAGGGAUACAAGCUUUUAGAUCUAUCUUCUAUGAAGUUAUUUGUUUUUUAAAGGGAUGUCAAAUUUUAUGAAAGUGUUUUUCCUUUCUAAAAAUCCUCACUUAUUCAGACAACUUUUUCAGUUCCUGAUCAAAUGUCUACUCUACCUUCUUUUUCGUCCAAUUCUACAUCAGAUAAUUUAAUCUACUCUACUAUUUCUUUUUCACACAGUCAGUCACCUGUUUUACAUUCAUCUAGUAGUCUUGGUUCACCUACUACUUUCCCUACAUCUACCAAUUCUUCUUCUUCCCUUCCUACACACACAGUUAUUCCAGAUUCUUCUUCAGUAAGAUACUCUACACUCUCUCCCGUUCCUUGUACAUUAUCAAAUCAUACAGUAAUCAAGAAAUGACUUAGAGAAUAUAAAACACCAGCUUAUUUGACAGAUUACGUGUGCAAUUCUGUUUAUUUGACUAACCUAACCCCUAGUUGUUUUGAAGCAUCUCUAGAACCUUUUGUUUUGUCUUUUUCAGCUCUAUCCUCCACAAAUCAACAUUUUUUAAAAUCACUCUCCCAUAUUUCAGAACCUACAACUUAUUCCCAGGUAGUUUUACAUCCUGCAUGGCAGGAAGCAAUGGCUAAAUAAUUUGAAGCCUUGGAGGCUAACAAAACCUGGGAGCUUGUAGAGUUACCAAAGGGAAUGAAUGCUUUGCAUUCCAAAUAGGUUUAUAAGGUAAAAUAUAAGUCUGAUAGAAGUGUCGAGAGAUUGAAAGCUAGACUAGUGAUAAGGGGUGACAUAAACAGAGAGGGAAUUGAAUUUUACAGAUACUUUUUCUCCUGUAGUUAAGAUGACUACAGUCAGAUGUCUCAUGGCUAUUGCAGUUAAAAAGGGAUUGCCUUUAUUUCAAUUAGAUGUAAAUAAUGCUUUCCUUCAUGGUGAUUUAUAAGAGGAAGUUUAUACGAAACUUCCAGCCGGUAUGUUUAGUAUUGGUUCUAACCUUGGUGCAGGUUAAGAAAAUCUCUAUAUGGAUUGAAACAGGCGUCACGACAAUGGUACCCCAAACUUGCAACAACUCUCAAUUUUAAAGGAUACACUAAUUACCUUAACGAUUAUUCUUUAUUUUUCAAAAAAGGCAGAUUCGAAUGUCACCUUAGUUGCUGUAUAUAUUGAUGAUAUUCUUCUAACAGGAGAUGACCCUAAUGAAUUGAGUGUUCUAAAGCAUGUUUUGGAUACAGAAUUCAAAAUAAAAGACCUAGGUGAUGCACAUUUUUUUCUUGGAAUGAAAAUUAUCAGAGAAAAAUAAGGUAUAAUUCUUUGUCAACAGAAAUUUACCUUGGACCUAUUGACAGAGUUUGGUUGUCUUUAUUUGAGGCCUGCUUCUUCUCCGCUGGAUCCCUAUUGCAAAUUACAAGCAGAUUCUGGUUCUUUCCUUCGGGAUCCCACUAUUUAUCGGCGACUCGUUGGGAAGUUAAAUUUUUUGAAUCACACCCGAUCAGAUAUCUCUUUUGCUGUACAGCGGCUUAGUUAAUUUAUGCAAACUCCACGACAAUCUCAUCUUGAUGCUGCUAUGCACUGCCUUCGAUAUCUCCUAUCAAGUCCUGGUCUUGGGCUUCUUUUUAAUUCAGAACCAUCAUUCAAGCUUCUAGCCUGUUGUGAUUCUGAUUGGGGUUCUUGUCCCGACACAAGGCGAUCAGUCAGCGGAUAUUUUGUUAGCCUUGGGGGAUCCCCAAUUUUGUGGAAAUAUUAGAAACAAGCCCUCAUUUUCCUUUCUUCUGCUGAGGCAGAAUACCAUUCCAUGAGACGCGCGGUUUCCAAAGUCAUUUGGCUUGUUCGUCUUCUUGAGGAUCUUUCCGUUGGUCCAUCUUUUCUAGUUUCUAUUCAUUAAGACAGCCAAGCUGCGAUCCAUAUCGCCAGAAAUCCCAUCUUUCACGAAGCACAAAACAUGUCGAGCUCGACUGUUAUUUUGUUCGCUAGCAAUUUCAGGCUGGCCUCGUCUCCCUCAAUUUCGUUCCUUCUAAGUCUCAACUUGCUGAUGUUUUCACAAAAUCUCCGCCUGGAUCGGCUCAUCGCUAAAUCAUUAGCAAGUUGGGAGUGGUUUCUCCCCCUUCCAACUUGAGGGGGGGGGGAUGUGUUGGAAUCGAAAACCCCAUUCUAGACAAAGAGGAAUUGAAGAGGAGGAAACAUAACCCUACUGUAGACAAAGAUGAAUUAAAGAGGAAGAAACAGAUGAAACUACAGAGAAUAUCGGAUAUAUCGAAGAGUACAAGACCAAGUGUUUUAUGAUAAAUUCUGCCGGGUCAAAUAAAUUAAUGGGCC
This 25231-nucleotide long non-coding RNA is filed under the name Nicotiana benthamiana. RNAcentral describes it as "long non-coding RNA (NBEN_LNC007073)". Lineage: Eukaryota; Viridiplantae; Streptophyta; Magnoliopsida; Solanales; Solanaceae. The record is from RNAcentral.